RNAcentral lists this non-coding RNA (27 nucleotides) under Rattus norvegicus (Norway rat). Lineage: Eukaryota; Metazoa; Chordata; Mammalia; Rodentia; Muridae. The record is from RNAcentral.
UCAACAAAUGAUGAUGGUUCAACUGGA